UACAGAGGUCCCAAGCGUUGUUCGGAUUCACUGGGCGUAAAGGGUGUGUAGGAGGCUUGGUAAGUCAGGUGUGAAAUCCCGCAGCUCAACUGCGGAACUGCAUUCGAUACUGCCGAGCUAGAGGAUCGGAGGGGGAAGCGGAAUUCUUGGUGUAGCGGUGAAAUGCGUAGAUAUCAAGAGGAACACCGGUGGCGAAGGCGGCUUCCUGGAAGAUACCUGACUCUGAAACACGAAAGCUAGGGGAGCGAAUGGG
RNAcentral lists this ribosomal RNA (253 nucleotides) under uncultured bacterium. RNAcentral describes it as "partial 16S ribosomal RNA". It matches the Rfam family "Bacterial small subunit ribosomal RNA", at positions 524 to 776 of the family's 1533-position model. The record is from RNAcentral.